This 1360-nucleotide long non-coding RNA is filed under the name Zostera marina. RNAcentral's name for it is "long non-coding RNA (ZMAR_LNC004507)". Lineage: Eukaryota; Viridiplantae; Streptophyta; Magnoliopsida; Alismatales; Zosteraceae. The record is from RNAcentral.
UUGAAUAAAAGUUAUAUCGCCGGAUAUUCGGUUAUGAUCCAACUUAAUAUUAGUUUAUCUUGCUGGAUAUUCGCCGAUGUGGACAAUCCUUCUUCCCCCAAAACGUAUGUCAUCAACUGGAAUCCACGAAGCAUCGUAAAAAACUGUGCCUCCCACGAAAAGUAGUUUGAUUUUUGUAAGAGCACACACCUGAUGACCUUUGUGACAACCUUCGUGUUUGUUGGUUGUGUGAGUGCCUCACCAGUGAUCGCCGGAAUGCCUUACAAUGGUAACUUCAGAAAAGGGGACAUAAGAAAGUGGGUGUAGAUGGUAACAUAACCAAGGGGAGGAUAUGACGCAAGGUCGUUCCCAGGGCGCAUGAAGCUGACCGUAUCCACCGAUAUCUGUUCCAGCGAUUCUUUGAUCCCAUUGUCGGAGACGUUCGACUGAGGGUUAUUCUGAUCAGGCUCCAGAGAGAAAAGGUUGUCCAUCAGAGUAACGGUAACCUUGGGGCGCGUGAAAGAAGAAAAACCGGCCAUGGGAGCUGAAGAAGAAGGAGCGUUUAACCUGUGGAAGCGGAAAGUGGAAACCGAAGAUGAGAGGAAAAAGGAGAGGGGGAGCAUUUAUAUAGACCCAGGGCAUGGAAGUCAAAGCGUUGCGAGUACUUGAGCGGAGAUACGUGCCAUGGUCGACCGAGCGCGCGGCCCAGAGGGUAGCUUGAGGGCCCAAAACCUAUGCUAUUUGAAAAAAAGGGCAAAUGAGGGCACUCGACACAAGCACCGAACUUCUGAAAAAAUGCAUACGGUGAAACAUGACAGUCUCGGCAGGGGAACGAUCAAGGGUAAAAGAGGGUAACACACGACCGAACGACGUACUAAAGUGUAAAACAAUUCAGACCACCUCAUCGACGGGCGACGUUGUGUCAAGAACAGCUGCACGCACACGUUGCAUAAAAAAGUUGUUUUUUCAAAUCAUUAAAGAACCCGAAACAAGGAUGUUGAAACACGCAACAUGUUAAAAGUAAAGGGAGGAACAGUGACAACGACAACAAUAAGUAAUAGAACAAAACUUAUAACAACGUUAUUAGUACAAAAAUUACCACACUACGUACUCUUAAGUAAAGAAAAGUCAACAAGAAAGGAGAAGAGGAUGAGGAAUAGGAUCGCCCGAAGGAGGAUCCGAGGAUGGCCAAGACUGUGCCCAAAGAAAAGGAAGUGAUGAAGUACUGAAUCUGCUACCAGGGCUCGCGGUGGUGCGAGGUGAUGACGGAGGCUCUGGAAUCCACGACGCGCGCUCUACGUCAAAUACCUGGAAGGGGAGAAUAGGCGAUUCUCUUAGUGCUGCUCUAGUGAGAGUGGAACUUGUGUUGUGUCUUUAAGUU